CUCACUAUUGUGGCAUUGAUGGGCUAAGUGAAGGCAAGAAAAUAGU
RNAcentral lists this ribosomal RNA (46 nucleotides) under Aspergillus awamori. Lineage: Eukaryota; Fungi; Ascomycota; Eurotiomycetes; Eurotiales; Aspergillaceae. The record is from RNAcentral.